Molecule: ribosomal RNA, 484 nt
Filed under: uncultured bacterium
Lineage: Bacteria
Description: bacterial SSU rRNA
Rfam family: Bacterial small subunit ribosomal RNA
Source: RNAcentral
UUCGGAGCAGGAGUGACAGGUGGGUGCAUGGUUGUCGUCAGCUCGUGUCGUGAGAUGUUGGGUUAAGUCCCGCAACGAGCGCAACCCUUAUCUUUAGUAGCCAGCGGUCAGGCCGGGCACUCUAGAGAGACUGCCAGGGAUAACCUGGAGGAAGGCGGGGAUGACGUCAAAUCAUCAUGCCCCUUAUGACUUGGGCUACACACGUGCUACAAUGGCGUAAACAAAGGGAAGCAAAGCUGUGAAGCCGAGCAAAUCUCAAAAAUAACGUCUCAGUUCNAACUGUAGUCUGCAACCCGACUACACGAAGCUGGAAUCGCUAGUAAUCGCAGAUCAGAAUGCUGCGGUGAAUACGUUCCCGGGUCUUGUACACACCGCCCGUCACACCAUGGGAGUUGGGAAUGCCCGAAGCCAGUGACCUAACCGAAAGGAAGGAGCUGUCGAAGGCAGGCUCGAUAACUGGGGUGAAGUCGUAACAAGGUAGCCG